This is a non-coding RNA of Triticum urartu, 135 nucleotides long. Lineage: Eukaryota; Viridiplantae; Streptophyta; Magnoliopsida; Poales; Poaceae. The record is from Rfam.
CACAUACUCCCUCCGUCUGAAAAUACUUGUCAUCAAAAUGGAUAAAAAGGGAUGUAUCUAGAACUAAAAUACGUCUAGAUACAUCUCCUUUUAUCCAUUUUGAUGACAAGUAUUUCCGGACGGAGGGAGUAUGUU